AGUGAACGCUGGCGGCAGGCCUAAUACAUGCAAGUCGAACGGCAGCACAGCAGAGCUUGCUCUGUGGGUGGCGAGUGGCGGACGGGUGAGGAAUACGUGGGAAUCUGCCCAGUCGUGGGGGAUAACGUAGGGAAACUUACGCUAAUACCCGCAUGCGCCCUUCGGGGAAAGCCGGGGACCUUCGGGCCUGGCGCGAUUGGAUGAGCCCACGUCGGAUUAGCUAGUUGGCGGGGUAAAGGCCACCAAGGCGACGAUCCGUAGCUGGUCUGAGAGGAUGAUCAGCCACACUGGAACUGAGACACGGUCCAGACUCCUACGGGAGCAGCAGUAGGGAAUAUUGGACAAUGGGCGCAAGCCUGAUCCAGCCAUGCCGCGUGAGUGAAGAAGGCCCUCGGGUUGUAAAGCUCUUUGUCCGGAAAGAAAGCGCCGGGUUAAUACCCUGGUGUCCUGAC
RNAcentral lists this ribosomal RNA (452 nucleotides) under uncultured bacterium. RNAcentral describes it as "bacterial SSU rRNA". It matches the Rfam family "Bacterial small subunit ribosomal RNA", at positions 29 to 476 of the family's 1533-position model. The record is from RNAcentral.